GCCUGGUUGGCUCAGUCGAUUGAGCGUCUGGCUUCGGCUCAGGUCAUGAUCUCACGGUUUGUGAGUUCAAGCCCUGCAUCGGGCU
Transfer RNA from Felis catus (domestic cat), 85 nucleotides. It matches the Rfam family "tRNA". From Rfam's summary of the family: Transfer RNA (tRNA) molecules are approximately 80 nucleotides in length. Their secondary structure includes four short double-helical elements and three loops (D, anti-codon, and T loops). NCBI's taxonomy places the organism in Eukaryota, Metazoa, Chordata, Mammalia, Carnivora, Felidae. The record is from Rfam.